UCGUAGAACAAUAUUAACAGUUGUUUUCAAUACAUAUUUCAAUUCUCUACAAAUAGUUUCUUAUGACUUUUGAUGUAAAAUAAUUAGGGAAGCAGGAAUUCAACAGUUUAGAAUUUUACAUUGAGUUUCCUAUGACCCGUGUUCCAAUUCACCACCCGGUAUACCUCUAUGGUUAUUAGUAGAACCUUAGAAUAUAAAAUAAAUAUAAAAUAGAAUAUAAAAUAAAUCAGGAAGGAGUACAAUGCGAAAUGACUACGAGCCAGGAAGGAGGUUGCAAAUGGCGAUCAGCUGUCAGAUUUGCUUUCUACCUCCAGUGACGUACCUUUGAAAGAGGGAAGAAAAGAAAUUCUUAACGAUUUUAUUACAUCUUUUAUGUUAAACAAACAGCUACAGAUCAAGAGAAAAUACGUAUUAAUAUAAUAUUUUGUUGAAAAGUCAGUUAAAUAACAUUUUAUUAUACUAAUAACUUCAGUUAAUUGAUUGCAUAUACAGGAGCUUUACCAGAUGGUACGCCUAUGCACACAGCUGAUCCAAUACACAAACACCUUCUACCUCGUUGACAAAAACUUAUGAGUCAUGCCCCGGAAUCUAUAUGAACAAACUGGGGAAUUUCCCCCAUCACUUUCACUACCGUCAGCUAAUAAAGAGAAAUGACAGCCUAUCUCGCUCACGAAGACUUUAACCAAUCAUUUAUGUUAACGCCAUAUCUGAAUGUCAUAAAUAAAAUAAUCAAACGAGGCUUAACUCGGCAAUGUCAAUUCUGUCAAAAGUAAUGACAGUUAGUGGAAAAAAUUUUCCAUUAGUUUACAGUUUUUAUUUUUUAUUGUAUUACCUUUAACGAUUUGUUCUUAGUAAUUUCAAUUUAAGUUGGUUCCUUAUCCUUCGUUGAUAAAGUGUAGUUUUGUUUUAGUUACGAAACGAAAGAACUUUUGUGUUGUGUUAAUAAAAGAACUGAACAUGGUUUAUUAUUGUUGUGUACAAAUCAUAGAUAAGUUAGAAAAAUGCAUAGAUAGGUAAAUAGUAAUUAGUUUAUAACUGUUUUAUCUGAAACAACAAAUAAAUACACGUACCUAUAUUUAGAAAAACAUUGUCAUAACUUUUUUUAUAUCCCUUUUCCUUACUAAAUUUGACAGCAAAAAUAACAUAUUUUUGUAACUUGGGAAUUCCGAAUAAUUUAUGAGUAUUACUUAAGUCCACUUUACAUCAACAAUAAAUUGGACAAGAAAUUGACCAAGUUAUUCAAGGCCAAAUUUGACGUGUAAAAGCACACUUUGACAUCUAAGUUUGUUCGUUAUAAACUUCACGUGAAGAAAUUGACGAAAAAGAAAAUUGUUCUAUUUUUUCAUUUAUUUGGCGUGAAUUCAGUGUCACCAACCUGUGUCCAUUUGGCGGGAAGUGGAAGUAGAGCUGUAGAGCUUUUUGUUUAUUAUUAUUUGUUGAGGUUGAGUCUUUCAUGUUCAUGACAACCUAAAAAUUUUGAUUGGAAAAUGCAUAUAAGAUAAGGGGGUGGGAAAAUGGAAAUUAGUGGCUUUUUUGCAGUUCUGUCUGUUAGUUUUGCUCUGGCUGGGUCUCUUUUGUUUAAACAAUUAUAAUCAGCUGAAAGUGGUCUACAAAAAAACCAGGAAGGAAACGUAUUAUAGCCUUGUUGUGGCUAUGAAAGGCAAAAGAAAGAUACCUAUAAAAAGUGUAUUGACUAGUUGGAAGAAACUCCACAUUGUCGAUGCAUAAUAAGAUAUUACUUUAUAAACAAAUAUCAAGACCUAGGAAUGGAACCUGGAUAAUAUAGUCAUCAAGAAGAUAGCAGGAGGUCAUGAGCAACAACAACUUCAUAAGUAUGAGAAUAUUGAGGAAAUCCAGCUCCUCGAUAUCUACUACUGGACAAACUAGAAGAUUGAAGAGGACAAAGCCUUUUGAACUAGUUUGAGUGAUAGGUGAUAGUGAAAAGCAGAGCGUAGUGCUUGUGUGCCUGUGUAUGUUAGAAUAGUGCACGAUCUUGUUAGAUUAGAUAAGAGACGCUAUAGGGUAAGCUCUUCAUUUUAAGGAACAGUAGUAAUUUAGGUUAAAUUAAAAUUGCUCAUUGGUCAGUUAUGACCAGAUUGUAAUUCUCUGAUGUUUGGCAAAAAGGGCUGAAGUCAGAAUUGCACAUCAAUAAUGUUUUGAUGAUUUCUGGACCAUAAAAAAAGUGUUGCAGACUUAAACUGUAUGUACCAAUAAAAAGAGCCGAUUUUUCUGGUCCAGAAAUCAUCAAAACAUUAUCGAUGUGCAAUUCUGACUUAAGCCCUUUUUCCCAAACAUCAGAGAAUUGCAAUGUACAAUUCAAUACAAAUGAAUCAUCAUCGUAGUGAUGAUUAUGGAAAAAAAUAUAUAUAUAUAGAAAUAUAUAUAUUUUGUGCAAUAAAAAUGUUUAUAUUUAUCAAGGAUGUAUUAUUUGGUAUGGCCACAUAUACUUCUGGUAUAUCGUCGGUGAUGUGACAAUACCUCCUAUCUGCUUUUUCAUGAAUUUUGUAGGAGACGAAAAACCAUUUUUAGGGUCAUCUGUUUUCACAUGUAAAUUUUGACAUGUUUUGUAGUAAAUAGAUAAUUGAAUUUACUACAAAACAUGUCAAAAAAUAUCAUAUGAAAAUAGGAGGUGACUGUAAAAAAAGUUUUUAGUCUCUCUUACAAAAUGGUUAACAGUUAAUAGAGAGACAGAUAAUCGAGGUUCCACUGUAUAGUGAAAUUUGGACACCCGACACCCCAUACAAAUUUUAUGGGGGUUUUGUUCGUUUAAACCCCCCCCCCCCCCAAACUUUUGUGUAAGUUACAAUUGAAUUAUUAUUGUGGUACUAUUAAACACAAUGUUUUUAAAACUUUUUUGCCUCUUAGUACUUUUUUGAAGUCAGUUUUUAUCGUGAUAUUUUGAAUAUUUGUCAAAUCCACCACAUAUUUGUAUAUGGUUAAGUACGAUUGUAGAGACUAAUAAUAUGAAAAUUUAUUUAUGAUUUACAUUUUUAGGUAUAUUUUGAACCAUUUUAAAAAGAAGCCAUAUCUUGAUAAAAAGAGCUUUAUCGAAAAAAUAGAAAGAGGCAAAAAAGUUUUAAAAACACAGUGUUUAACUAAUGGUACCGCAGAAAUAAUUUAAUUGGAACGUACCCAAAAGUUUGGGGGGGUUAAAGGGAACAAAACCCCCAUAAAAUUUUUAUGGGGUGCACAAAUUUCACUAUAAUUUUUCUUUAAGAUGUUACUGCAAUAAUAUUGCUUCAUGUCCAUUUUCAAUAAAAAAUCUUUAAUAGUUUUCGAUAUAUUCGAAAAAAUCGAAUUUUCAUUUUGUAUCUUCAAAGGGCUGUAACUUUUUUUGUGUGCAUAUUUGUACUAAGGUAAGUUAGGUUCAUUCAAAUUUUUUUUGGUCCCAGAAUAUGUGAUUUAAUUUACGACCAAUCUUUUCGGGACACCCUGUAUAAUAAAUGGGAUUAGCUGGCUUAAAAAUUCAUAAUCUACGUUCUGUAGAAAAUAUACAGUUUUUGGUUUCUUUUUAACUAGAUCUUAAUAUCUAACCAAGCAUUUUAAGACCUUUUUAUUAUUUUUUCGAUGAUAUAUUCAUGUUUUUAGUUUGUUCAAAAUAUUCUAGAUGAUUGUACACUAUAAUAGAUAGCCAACUAAAUAAACACAAAAAUUUUAUUUUUGUUACAGCCUGUAUAUAAGUUUACCUAUAUAUACAGUGCAUUACGCACCACCUUAAAAAUUGGGCAUUUUUGAUGUCUCGAAUUUCCUAAACCUGUUGUCCCAUCUAAGUGAUUUUUUUAUAAUAAUAUAGCCUGAGGCUAUAGGUUACUGCCUUAUGCUUGUCAUGCACGGGGAGCUAUACUGUAAUAUAUAUUAUAUCACGUCGCUCUCUAUAGUAAUGAGUGAGCCUGCACAUACGGAACCAUUAGUUCCCUGUCUGCAGGCUCACUCAUUACUAUAGAGAGCGAUAUGAUAUAAUAUACAUAUAUUACAGUAUAGCUACCAGUGCAUGACAAGCUUAAGGAUGUAACCUAUAGCCUAGGCUAUAUUAUAAAAAAAUCACUCAGAUGAGACAACAGGUUUAGAAAAUUCGAGACAUCAAAAAUGCCCUAUUUUUAAGGUAGUGCGUUAAUUUCUUGGAGAAGUGUAUUGUAAUUUAAUGUAAAUAAUGUAAUAUCCAAUAAUUGUAAUUUAAUAUAAGAUGUAAUAUAAGUUCCUUAAAAA
This is a long non-coding RNA of Diabrotica virgifera virgifera (western corn rootworm), 4206 nucleotides long. RefSeq lists it as uncharacterized. The record is from RefSeq and is a predicted model, not a curated record. Lineage: Eukaryota; Metazoa; Arthropoda; Insecta; Coleoptera; Chrysomelidae. The transcript is spliced from 2 exons.